This 236-nucleotide small RNA is filed under the name Castor canadensis (American beaver). RNAcentral describes it as "7SK RNA (ENSCCNG00000017571.1)". The stretch from base 1 to 179 matches the Rfam family "7SK RNA". Rfam says of the family: 7SK was discovered as an abundant small nuclear RNA in the mid-70s but a possible function has only recently been suggested. Two independent studies have found that 7SK RNA binds the CDK9/cyclin T complex (known as elongation factor P-TEFb). The record is from RNAcentral. Lineage: Eukaryota; Metazoa; Chordata; Mammalia; Rodentia; Castoridae.
GGAUGUGAGGGCAAUCUGGCUGUGUCAUCUGUUACCUCGCUAGGAUUGAUUUGGCUCAUCUGGAUGGCUAGGUGGGUGUACCCUUCCUCCCUCACUGCUCUAUGUGCGUCCCUCCUGCGAACAACUAGUACAUAUAUGUACAUUUGGAAAAGAAACUAGAAAACGACUUGGGAGAACACUAAUCAGUAUUGUAAAAUUCUGAGCUACUCCAUCAGAAGGAACAGGAACCUUACUUA